GUGGGGAAUUUUGGACAAUGGGCGCAAGCCUGAUCCAGCAAUGCCGCGUGCAGGAAGAAGGCCUUCGGGUUGUAAACUGCUUUUGUACGGAACGAAAAGGCUCUGGUUAAUACCUGGGGCUCAUGACGGUACCGUAAGAAUAAGCACCGGCUAACUACGUGCCAGCAGCCGCGGUAAUACGUAGGGUGCAAGCGUUAAUCGGAAUUACUGGGCGUAAAGUGUGCGCAGGCGGUUUUGUAAGACAGAGGUGAAAUCCCCGGGCUCAACCUGGGAAUUGCCUUUGGGACUGCAAGGCUGGAGUGCGGCAGAGGGGGAUGGAAUUCCGCGUGUAGCAGUGAAAUGCGUAGAUAUGCGGAGGAACACCGAUGGCGAAGGCAAUCCCCUGGGCCUGCACUGACGCUCAUGCACGAAAGCGUGGGGAGCAAACAGGAUUAGAUACCCCUGUAGUCC
RNAcentral lists this ribosomal RNA (450 nucleotides) under uncultured bacterium. Its description in RNAcentral is "partial 16S ribosomal RNA". It matches the Rfam family "Bacterial small subunit ribosomal RNA", at positions 354 to 796 of the family's 1533-position model. The record is from RNAcentral.